Molecule: ribosomal RNA, 253 nt
Filed under: uncultured bacterium
Lineage: Bacteria
Description: partial 16S ribosomal RNA
Rfam family: Bacterial small subunit ribosomal RNA
Source: RNAcentral
UACGUAGGGUGCAAGCGUUAAUCGGAAUUACUGGGCGUAAAGCGUGCGCAGGCGGUUGUGCAAGACCGAUGUGAAAUCCCCGGGCUUAACCUGGGAAUGGCAUUGGUGGCUGCACGGCUAGAGUGUGUCAGAGGGGGGUAGAAUUCCACGUGUAGCAGUGAAAUGCGUAGAGAUGUGGAGGAAUACCGAUGGCGAAGGCAGCCCCCUGGGAUAACACUGACGCUCAUGCACGAAAGCGUGGGGAGCAAGCAGG